Non-coding RNA from Dermacentor andersoni, 605 nucleotides. NCBI's taxonomy places the organism in Eukaryota, Metazoa, Arthropoda, Arachnida, Ixodida, Ixodidae. The record is from RefSeq and is a predicted model, not a curated record.
CGCGCACAUACAUGCCGGUUUGUAUGGGCCGGCGUGCUUGCGUGUGUCUAGUGCGUACGUGUUUUGUGAGCGUGUUUCUGUGUGGGUCACUGUGUGUGCGUCCACGUGUUAGCGUGUCUGCCUGCAUGUAUGUGUGAUUGUUUGUGUUUAUCAAUGUGCGCGUGCGUGCCUUUGUGUCUGCGCUUUGAGAGUGCGUAUAUUUGUGUGCGUGCGUAUGUAUUGCAUAAGGCCGGUAGAAUUUUACUCGCAAUAAAACUCUUCCAAUUUGGUGCAGCGAGUGUUGCCGCCUGAAAGCCGAGUUUGGUUUCAAGCCAACCUGGACAACUGCUGUAUGAGGCGCUGUUUCGCAGGAGGAUCAGUGGGAAGGCGUCAGGUCAUGCAGAUGAUAGCAUCAAUUUCACAAUGCCCAGCCUUGGUGCCCUCCAUUAAGAGCAAGCCACUUGCGUUCGCCUUCAGGCAGAUGGUUGAUGUCUUCUAGGAAGCAGUUGGGAAGACUACAUUGAUGCAAGAUUCCAGCAAUGCCAUGCGCUGCAUUUAUUGGUCAAGAUGCUCAGAGAAUGGAGUCCCUGCACCUCGUGGUGAAACGUGAACAUUUUCUUUCUUUU